Molecule: transfer RNA, 69 nt
Filed under: Chloropsis cyanopogon
Lineage: Eukaryota; Metazoa; Chordata; Aves; Passeriformes; Irenidae
Rfam family: tRNA
About the family: Transfer RNA (tRNA) molecules are approximately 80 nucleotides in length. Their secondary structure includes four short double-helical elements and three loops (D, anti-codon, and T loops).
Source: Rfam by way of RNAcentral
GAGAUCCUAGCUUAAUUAAAGUACCUGGGUUGCAUUCAGGAGAUGCAGGGUAAAAUCCUGUGGAUCUUA